RNAcentral lists this ribosomal RNA (330 nucleotides) under uncultured Actinomycetes bacterium. Its description in RNAcentral is "bacterial SSU rRNA". It matches the Rfam family "Bacterial small subunit ribosomal RNA", at positions 28 to 351 of the family's 1533-position model. Lineage: Bacteria; Bacillati; Actinomycetota; Actinomycetes. The record is from RNAcentral.
GACGAACGCUGGCGGCGCGCUUAAUACAUGCAAGUCGAGCGAGAACCAGUCCUUCGGGACUGGGGAAAGCGGCGAACGGGUGAGUAACACGUGGGUAAUCUGCCCUCGGCACUGGGAUAGCCCGGGGAAACCCGGAUUAAUACCGGAUAGCCUUUCGAGCCUUCGGGCUCGUCAGAAAAGGUGGCUUCGGCUUCCGGCUGAGGAUGAGCCCGCGGCGGAUUAGCUUGUUGGUGAGGUAAUGGCUCACCAAGGCUCCGAUCCGUAGCUGGUCUGAGAGGACGAUCAGCCACACUGGGACUGAGACACGGCCCAGACUCCUACGGGAGGCUG